Molecule: long non-coding RNA, 769 nt
Organism: Drosophila montana
Lineage: Eukaryota; Metazoa; Arthropoda; Insecta; Diptera; Drosophilidae
Exons: 4
Source: RefSeq, a predicted model, not a curated record
AUGAAUUAAGUGACAUGUUAUAUACAAUUCAAGUGAAGUUUCCCAGCCUUGGCAUGGGGAUUGCUGUCAAAUUAAUUAUUUGAGGAUUGGGAAAAUCCCCAAUUGUCUGGAAGCUACCCAGUCUGAUAGCCGUUGCAUCUGGAUGAGCUGGAGCCGCCAGCGUGACCACCGUUGAUCCUGCCGCCAGAUGCCAUUGGUGUGGGUGCUUGAGAGACGUAGCAUCAAGGCCUUUUUCCAUUGUAUGGGAUGUCGCAGUCUGAAUUUCUCCAGUCGCAAUUGGAUGAGUUGCCGUGUCCUGCAAGUAGUCCUAGUCUUAGGCCCUCGCUGUGGUACAAGUACAUAGAGAUACCAUACAUCCAAAUGGAAGCGAGUGUGUGAAUGGAAUAUGAGUGAACACACAGGAGGAAUUGGUUCCCACUUGACCAUGGUGCAGAAACACAUUCCAAACAAACACGCUCCACAUUCAUAUGUAGGCAGCCAAGCUUUGUCCGGAUUUAUUUAGGAUAGAUGUUUACAAAUUCCAGUUACAAAAUUUGAAGCUUAAUAUAAUCACAAUACUUUGAUUUGAUAUAGUUUAGGGUUUUAUCCCGGUAUGAUAUAGCAAGUGUAAUUAUACUGAAAGCGGCGACAGCAUUACUAGUAUUUUGAAUGCCAUAAGCCGGCUGUUCUGAUAAUGUGCUGUAAGGGAGAGGAGGUGACGUAAAAAUGGCAAGAGUGCAGGGCAACUUGGAUGAAAAAACUGCUGCUUGAGACAAAAGGCAGGACUAAA